GACGAACGCUGGCGGCGUGCUUAACACAUGCAAGUCGAACGGAAAGGCCCUGCUUGCCGGGUACUCGAGUGGCGAACGGGUGAGUAACACGUGGGUGAUCUGCCCUGCUCUUCGGGAUAAGCUUGGGAAACUGGGUCUAAUACCGGAUAGGACCGCACUUUAGCGUGUGUGGUGGAAAGUUUUUUCGGUGUAGGAUGAGCUCGCGGCCUAUCAGCUUGUUGGUGGGGUAAUGGCCUACCAUGGCGGCGACGGGUAGCCGACCUGAGAGGGUGUACGGCCACAUUGGGACUGAGGGACGGCCCAGACGCCUACGGGAGGCAGCAGUGGGGAAUAUUGCACAAUGGGCGCAAGCCUGAUGCAGCGACGCCGCGUGGGGGAUGAAGGCCUUCGGGUUGUAAACUCCUUUCGCUAGGGACGAAGCUGUUUGUGACGGUACCUAGAUAAGAAGCACCGGCUAACUACGU
RNAcentral lists this ribosomal RNA (464 nucleotides) under uncultured bacterium. RNAcentral describes it as "partial 16S ribosomal RNA". It matches the Rfam family "Bacterial small subunit ribosomal RNA", at positions 28 to 506 of the family's 1533-position model. The record is from RNAcentral.